GCAUUUGGUACAAAGAAAACAAUGCCCUUCACGACAUCUGGUACAGCUGACUGACAGGACCAGAAGGAUAGCAAUAUGAUCAUGAAACCCAUGCAAAAUCCAACUUAUUAUGAGUAUCUCACUAUUAGAAAUGUCUUAUUCUUGGAACUCUCACGAGGAAGUUGCUCAACAUUGACAGUGAGCUGUGAACUGAUCAGAACAUCAUUAUUGUACCACUAAUGAAAGCAUUCAUUGCUGAAUGUGAAGUAUAAUAGCUGUGAACAAUUAAUGCAAUAGACCUGUUUACUCUUGAAUAAUUUGUGCUGAAAAGUUUUCAAAUUCUUUUCAUGGAACAAGAUGAACUUUUAAAAGAAUAUUGUGGUAAUAUGAAAAGGAGCUGAAUUCGGAGGACCAUGGAAUCUUGAGCAAUGAAAGAAGAUGUACGAUUUCAAUUCUUCCACGUUGACAUAAAAUUCACAAUUAAGAAGUGAGACGAUAUUGAAUAUUAAAGAGGAUUUGUAAUAAGAAUCAUCUUAGUUCGAAAUUUACUUAAAAGAACGACACUUUACCUUUUUUGCUCAUGAGUUUAUGUCUUUUCUUUACAGUACCCAGAUG
Molecule: long non-coding RNA, 594 nt
Organism: Argiope bruennichi
Lineage: Eukaryota; Metazoa; Arthropoda; Arachnida; Araneae; Araneidae
Exons: 3
Source: RefSeq, a predicted model, not a curated record